UAUACACACAAAGACCUUACUCAACCCUCGUGGGCGCUCCCAAAACCCCCCGAAUGAAACGCAAAACCCUCAAAACACAACGAAGCCCCUCAUCGUCCCUUCCCAGCCCAAAGUCAUGUCUUCCGCCGCCGCCGCCACAGCCGCCAGGUCCGCCCUCCGAUCCACUGCGGCCCGAGCAGCUACGGCGUCGAGGCUCACCGCCGGAGUCGGAGCCAAGGCCAGACCCGCGAGCUCACCGUUUCGCAUCCCAAAACAAAACUCUCUUGCACACCGCAUUUUCAGAUCUCCCGUGGAGAUGAGCUGCUGUGUGGAAACGAUGCUUCCAUAUCACACCGCCACUGCCUCUGCAUUGCUCACCUCUAUGCUCUCCGUCUCUCGCAGCUACGGUUGGACCCCUGAAGGGCAAGAGAAGACUAGAUGAAGAUCAAGCAUCAAAUAUGGAUUUCCUUGGGUUUGUUUUUGUUGUCUACUUUGAAAGUAUUGGUGAAUGUUCUCUUCAGUAGAUUUGGUGAGAAGACCAUCUUAUGAAAAUUCAUGUGGAAAGAUGAGAAAAUGAACACCAUAUAUCAUAGUUUUAUGGAGUUAGAGAAGCAGUAAAAUUCUGCAGGAUUUAACUAGAUCUCCUAGAUAAAUUUAAUUAGCUCGUUGCGCUCUUGAAACAAAAUUAUGCAGUUGCUUCUACAUUUCCUUUCAUGUUGACCAUCAGACUUAUCUUCGACUUUUUUUUUUGUUCAAAGAAGUCCUUCAUGGAUGAGGAAUGAUCAAAAAGCUCCAAACGAUUGCAACGAUGAUGUAUGAUGAAUGUCAGAGGAUUCGAGUGAAGUUUUAAGAACAUGCGCUCUUAAGACAAGGUGGUGAAAUAAAGCUUUUUUUAGUAGGACUUCUAGAUGCUUCUUUGCUUUACAAAGCCAGCCAAGGUGGUGAAGGAAAAUUUUAAUUAUUCAAGUAGGAAGUAACUGGCAACAUUAAUGAGUGCUUACUGAAUUGUGUUUCAAUGAGGCUUUUUGAGAUGGAUGAGUGUUGUUGGGGUGCGGUACAUUGAUCAUAAUUUCCAUGGAUUUCAAUGGACUUUGUAAGACUUGCUUGGGCAUUAUUCUUCUUGACCGGAUUUGAAAAUCAAGGGGUUAAAAGUUGUUCUACAUGCAAUCAUAAGUAGGUACCAAAAAUGAGAUUAGAUUGCUUUUUAUAUUUUCAAACACUAAAUUACAGUGCUAGAGGAAUUCUUUUGUGUGAGUUAUGUUCAGAAACGUUUUUGUUACUUCA
Alnus glutinosa is the source of this 1263-nucleotide RNA transcript. It is a transcript of the gene named protein NUCLEAR FUSION DEFECTIVE 6, mitochondrial, with no coding region annotated. The record is from RefSeq and is a predicted model, not a curated record. NCBI's taxonomy places the organism in Eukaryota, Viridiplantae, Streptophyta, Magnoliopsida, Fagales, Betulaceae. The transcript has 5 exons.